RNAcentral lists this long non-coding RNA (651 nucleotides) under Linum usitatissimum (flax). RNAcentral describes it as "long non-coding RNA (LUSI_LNC005559)". The record is from RNAcentral. Lineage: Eukaryota; Viridiplantae; Streptophyta; Magnoliopsida; Malpighiales; Linaceae.
UCAAAUCUUUUUUUAUAUUUGUUUUGGCAGGUUUAAUAAUUGGAGGAAUUUUGUUUGUUAUGCAGAUACAUUGAACCAGAACACUAAUAAUUUUCAUGCGACUCCAUCAAUGAGCACACACCAUAGUUAUAGUAUAGUUCCGUUCGCGCUUAUACUAGCUAUAAGAAAUCUCUCAUGACUCUGCAGAGUAGUUUGUUUGUACAAAAUGAUAGGUAAAAAGAGUUCCGAAGAACAAAUGUGUUCAAACUGUAACGAGCAAACAAGCUUUACUUCAAUUUGAAGACGACAAGAGAAGCGGCUGCGAAUCCACCAGCUAUAACAAAGCUGUUGCUUGCUAAACAAACAAAAAAGGAAGCUUCUUUGUUGUGGAGCUGAAACACAACACCGCCAAGUCGGAAAUACUUAAGCCAGUUAUCCUUCUCUUGUAAAUCAAAACAAAUUAGAAAGGAAUUUUCCAGCAUAGAGAUUCUCAGACGCAAACCUCAAACUUGCUCUUCAUGUGUUUUUUUUCUCUUGUUCUUUGCAUAUGUUUGUCCGCUGGAGGAGACGAGAGUCACAUUCCUUAACUCCUCGUGUGUUUUUAAGCCACUUGGUCUGUGUGACACAACACUGGUUUCAUCACAUUUCUGAGUUACCAAGAAACAGCUGAAG